This 301-nucleotide ribosomal RNA is filed under the name uncultured bacterium. RNAcentral's name for it is "partial 16S ribosomal RNA". It matches the Rfam family "Bacterial small subunit ribosomal RNA", at positions 509 to 807 of the family's 1533-position model. The record is from RNAcentral.
CAGCAGCCGCGGGAAUACAGAGGGUGCGAGCGUUAAUCGGAUUUACUGGGCGUAAAGCGUGCGUAGGCGGCUUUUUAAGUCGGAUGUGAAAUCCCCGAGCUUAACUUGGGAAUUGCAUUCGAUACUGGUUAGCUAGAGUGUGGGAGAGGAUGGUAGAAUUCCAGGUGUAGCGGUGAAAUGCGUAGAGAUCUGGAGGAAUACCGAUGGCGAAGGCAGCCAUCUGGCCUAACACUGACGCUGAGGUACGAAAGCAUGGGGAGCAAACAGGAUUAGAUACCCCAGUAGUCCCUGUCUCUUAUAC